This 578-nucleotide ribosomal RNA is filed under the name Stylaster sp. DM-2022. RNAcentral's name for it is "partial large subunit ribosomal RNA". It matches the Rfam family "Bacterial large subunit ribosomal RNA", at positions 1812 to 2603 of the family's 2925-position model. Lineage: Eukaryota; Metazoa; Cnidaria; Hydrozoa; Anthoathecata; Stylasteridae. The record is from RNAcentral.
AACAUAGCCCUAGAAUUAAUCUAAGGUGCAACCUGCCCAAUGAUUUAAGAAAAAAUAUAACCAUUUAGAAAAAAUUCAAUGGACGCGGUAAUAUGACCGUGAUAAUGUAGCAUAAUCAUUCGCCAUUUAAUUGAUGGAUAGUAUGAAAGGUUACACGAGUUCUAAACUGUCUCAAUUAAAGAAUCUAUGAAAUUAAAAUAAUAGUUAAGAUGCUAUUUAAUAUUGUAAGACGAAAAGACCCUAUAGAGCUUGACUAAAAUCUUCUUUUAAUAAGGAAGAGUGAUAGUUUAGUUGGGGCGACUAUCUUCUAGAAAAAACGAAGAUAAGCAAAGUUAAUAAAUAACUUAUUGUAUAACCAAUAAAUUUAACAAUUAUUAAAAUAGGCUAUAGUGACCCGUUAUAAUUAAGUAAUAAAAAUAACGAAAAAUAAAUAAAAGCUACCUUAGGGAUAACAGGAUAAUUUCAUUCUAGAGACCAUAUCAAAAAUGAAGUUUAUCACCUCUAUGUUGAAUUGAGAUAACCUAAUAAAGCAGAAUUUAUUAAAGGUAGGUCUGUUCGACCUUUAAAAUCUCACAUGA